CCGGUUGAUCCUGCCGGACCCGACUGCUAUCGGAGUGAGACUAAGCCAUGCGAGUCGUGCGCUCCGGGCUGGCGGAGCGCGGCGUACGGCUCAGUAACACGUGGUCAACCUACCCUGCGGACGGCUAUAACCCCGGGAAACUGGGGCUAAUAGCCGAUAGGGGAUAGGUGCUGGAAGGCCCUGUCCUCGAAAGGCCUAACCACCCAUGCCGUGGUUAGGCACCGCAGGAUGGGACUGCGCCCUAUCAGGUAGACGGUGGGGUAACGGCCCACCGUGCCUGUAACGGGUGCGGGCCCUGGGAGGGGGAGCCCGGAGAUGGGCACUGAGACAAGGGCCCAGGCCCUACGGGGCGCAGCAGGCGCGAAAACUCCGCUAUGCGCGAAAGCGCGACGGGGUCACUCCGAGUGCCGCCCGCUGAGGGCGGCUUUUGCCCAGUCCAAAAGGCUGGGCGAAUAAGGGGAGGGCAAGUUUGGUGUCAGCCGCCGCGGUAAUACCAACUCCCCGAGUGGUCGGGACGAUUAUUGGGCUUAAAGCGUCCGUAGCCGGCCCGGUGUGUCUCUGGUCAAAUCCGGCGUCUCAAGCGCCGGACCGCCGGAGAUACUACUGGACUAGGGAGCGGGAGAGGCGGGCGGUAUUCCCUGGGUAGGGGUAAAAUCCUAAGAUCCAGGGAGGACCAUCGGUGGCGAAGGCGGCCCGCUAGAACGCGUCCGACGGUGAGGGACGAAAGCUGGGGGAGCGAUCCGGAUUAGAUACCCGGGUAGUCCCAGCCGUAAACGAUGCAGGCUAGGUGUGUGGACGCCUUAGGGGCGUCCAUGUGCCGAAGGGAAACCGUUAAGCCUGCCGCCUGGGGAGUACGGCCGCAAGGCUGAAACCCUAGGAGGCCCUUAACUGAUAUAAUGAGGAAGGGUUCUCCUAGGGCAGCACACUUAAAGGAAUUGGCGGGGGAGCACCACAAGGGGUGGAGCCUGCGGUUCAAUUGGACUCAACGCCGG
This 992-nucleotide ribosomal RNA is filed under the name uncultured archaeon 20b-53. RNAcentral's name for it is "bacterial SSU rRNA". It matches the Rfam family "Archaeal small subunit ribosomal RNA", at positions 4 to 921 of the family's 1478-position model. The record is from RNAcentral.